This 253-nucleotide ribosomal RNA is filed under the name uncultured bacterium. Its description in RNAcentral is "partial 16S ribosomal RNA". It matches the Rfam family "Bacterial small subunit ribosomal RNA", at positions 524 to 776 of the family's 1533-position model. The record is from RNAcentral.
UACAGAGGUGCCGAGCGUUAGGCGGAAUCACUGGGCUUAAAGCGUGUGUAGGCGGAUGCCUAAGUACCUUGUGAAAUCCCACGGCUUAACCGUGGAACUGCUCGGUAUACUGGGUGUCUUGAGCCACUUAGGGGUUACCGGAACAAAUGGUGGAGCGGUGAAAUGCGUAGAUAUCAUUUGGAACGCCAAUGGUGAAAACAGGUAACUGGGAGUGCGCUGACGCUGAGACACGAAAGCCAGGGGAGCGAACGGG